This 64-nucleotide transfer RNA is filed under the name Lanceolaria grayii. RNAcentral's name for it is "tRNA-Ala". Lineage: Eukaryota; Metazoa; Mollusca; Bivalvia; Unionida; Unionidae. The record is from RNAcentral.
AGUUCUAUACUUUAACAAAAAGGUUUGAUUUGCAAGUCAACUAUUGAGAUACCGCUCUAGAACU